GAUGAACGCUAGCGGCAGGCUUAAUACAUGCAAGGCGAAGGGGCUGCAAUGUCACUGUCGUACGGGUGCGUAACGCGUAUGCAACCUACCUAUCACUGGGGGAUAGCCCGGGGAAACCCGGAUUAAUACCGCAUAACACAGGGGCUCCUCAUGGAGAUAUUUGUUAAAGAUUUAUCGGUGGUAGAUGGGCAUGCGUUCGA
Molecule: ribosomal RNA, 200 nt
Filed under: uncultured bacterium
Lineage: Bacteria
Description: partial 16S ribosomal RNA
Rfam family: Bacterial small subunit ribosomal RNA
Source: RNAcentral